UACGGGGGGGGCAAGCGUUGUUCGGAAUUACUGGGCGUAAAGGGCGCGUAGGCGGCCUUCUAAGUCAGACGUGAAAUCCCUCGGCUCAACCGAGGAACUGCGUCUGAUACUGGAAGGCUUGAAUCCGGGAGAGGGAUGUGGAAUUCCAGGUGUAGCGGUGAAAUGCGUAGAUAUCUGGAGGAACACCGGUGGCGAAGGCGGCGUUCUGGACUGCAACUGACACUGAGAGACGAAAGCCAGGGGAGCAAACGGG
Molecule: ribosomal RNA, 253 nt
Filed under: uncultured bacterium
Lineage: Bacteria
Description: partial 16S ribosomal RNA
Rfam family: Bacterial small subunit ribosomal RNA
Source: RNAcentral